This 1359-nucleotide ribosomal RNA is filed under the name uncultured bacterium. RNAcentral's name for it is "partial 16S ribosomal RNA". It matches the Rfam family "Bacterial small subunit ribosomal RNA", at positions 72 to 1376 of the family's 1533-position model. The record is from RNAcentral.
UUUUUCUCUCCCCUCCCUCUAUUAAAAAUUGGUGGGGGGGGGGGAGAAGACGCCCCCCAAGAGGAAAAAAAUUUUUGGGGGUUUUAAUCUCCUCCCUUUUUAAAAAAAAAAUUUUUUUUUUUGAGCCAUUUUUUUAAAAAAAAUUUUUAAAAAAUUUUUGGGGGGGGUUAAAAGGAGUGGGCCCUGCCUUUUUUUUUUUUUUUUUUUUUUGGGGAGGGGGAAAAAAGUCUCCCCCAAAGCUUUCGAAAAAGAUAGGGGGGCCCUGAAAAGGGGUGGUUCCCCCCCCACUGGGUUUUGAGACCACGGGCCCAAAUUCCUUCCGGGGAGGCACCAGGGAGGGAUUUUGCACAAAUGGAGGGAAAAUUUGGAGGAAGCCAUGCCGGGUGCAGGGAUGGCGGCCCCUUGGGGUUGUAAACUGCUUUUUUUACAAGAAGAAACCCUUGUACGUGUACCAACUUGACGGUAUUGUAAGGAUAAGCACCGGCUAACUCCGUGCCAGCCAGCCGCGGUAAUACGGAGGGUGCAAGCGUUAUCCGGAUUUAUUAGGUUUAAAGGGUUCGCAGGCGGAAUUUUAAGUCAGUGGUGAAAGCCUAUAGCUUCAACUAUAGAACUGCCAUUGAUACUGAAAUUCUUGAGUAUAGAUGAAGUGGGCGGAAUAUGUCAUGUAGCGGUGAAAUGCAUAGAUAUGACAUGGAACACCAAUUGCGAAGGCAGCUCACUAAACUAUUACUGACGCUCAUGAACGAAAGCGUGGGGAGCGAACAGGAUUAGAUACCCUGGUAGUCCACGCCGUAAACUAUGAUCACUAGAUGUUGGCGAUAUAUUGUCAGUGUUUUAGAGAAAUCGUUAAGUGAUCCACCUGGGGAGUACGUUCGCAAGAAUGAAACUCAAAGGAAUUGACGGGGGCCCGCACAAGCGGAGGAGCAUGUGGUUUAAUUCGAUGAUACGCGAGGAACCUUACCAAGACUUAAAUGUAUUUUGCUAGAUUGAGAAAUCAAUUUUUCUUCGGACAAUUUACAAGGUGCUGCAUGGUUGUCGUCAGCUCGUGCCGUGAGGUGUCGGGUUAAGUCCCAUAACGAGCGCAACCCCUAUUUCUAGUUACCAGCGAGUAAUGUCGGGAACUCUAGAGAGACUGCCUGUGUAAACAAUGAGGAAGGUGGGGAUGAUGUCAAAUCAUCACGGCCCUUAUGUCUUGGGCUACACACGUGCUACAAUGGUCACUACAGUGGGCUGCCAUCUGGUGACAGAGAGCAAAUCCAUAAAGGUGAUCCCAGUUCGGAUCGGAGUCUGCAACUCGACUCUGUGAAGUUGGAUUCGCUAGUAAUCGUAUAUCAGCAAUGAUAUCGGAUUUGGCCCCCC